This 468-nucleotide ribosomal RNA is filed under the name uncultured bacterium. RNAcentral's name for it is "partial 16S ribosomal RNA". It matches the Rfam family "Bacterial small subunit ribosomal RNA", at positions 28 to 507 of the family's 1533-position model. The record is from RNAcentral.
GACGAACGCUGGCGGCGUGCUUAACACAUGCAAGUCGAACGGAAAGGCCCUGCUUUUGUGGGGUGCUCGAGUGGCGAACGGGGGAGUAACACGCGAGUAACCUGCCCUUGACUUUGGGAUAACUUCAGGAAACUGGGGCUAAUACCGGAUAGGAGCUCCUGCUGCACGGUGGGGGUUGGAAAGUUUCGGCGGUUGGGGAUGGACUCGCGGCUUAUCAGCCUGUUGGUGGGGUAGUUGCUUACCAAGGCUUCGACGGGUAGCCGGCCUGAGAGGGUGACCGGCCACAUUGGUACUGCGAUACGGCCCAGACUCCUACGGGAGGCAGCAGUGGAGAAUAUUGCACAAUGGGCGGAAGCCUGAUGCAGCGACGCCGCGUGCGGGAUGACGGCCUUCGGGUUAUAAACCGCUUUCGCCUGUGACGAAGCGUGAGUGACGGUAAUGAGUAAAGAAGCACCGGCUAACUACGUG